GGAGAGAUGGCUGAGUGGUCUAAAGCACUGGUUUGCUAAACCGGCAUACCCCCAAAAGGGGUAUCGGGGGUUCGAAUCCCCCUCUCUCCGCCA
Molecule: transfer RNA, 93 nt
Filed under: Opitutaceae bacterium
Lineage: Bacteria; Pseudomonadati; Verrucomicrobiota; Opitutia; Opitutales; Opitutaceae
Description: tRNA-Ser
Rfam family: tRNA
About the family: Transfer RNA (tRNA) molecules are approximately 80 nucleotides in length. Their secondary structure includes four short double-helical elements and three loops (D, anti-codon, and T loops).
Source: RNAcentral